RNAcentral lists this ribosomal RNA (387 nucleotides) under uncultured bacterium. RNAcentral describes it as "bacterial SSU rRNA". It matches the Rfam family "Bacterial small subunit ribosomal RNA", at positions 28 to 416 of the family's 1533-position model. The record is from RNAcentral.
GUUGAACGCUGGCGGCAUGCCUUACACAUGCAAGUCGAACGGCAGCACGGGGGCAACCCUGGUGGCGAGUGGCGAACGGGUGAGUAAUACAUCGGAACGUGCCCAGUAGUGGGGGAUAGCCCGGCGAAAGCCGGAUUAAUACCGCAUACGACCUACGGGUGAAAGCGGGGGAUCGCAAGACCUCGUGCUACCGGAGCGGCCGAUGUCAGAUUAGGGUUGUUGGUGGGGUAAAAGCCUACCAAGCCGACGAUCUGUAGCUGGUCUGAGAGAACGACCAGCCACACUGGGACUGAGACACGGCCCAGACUCCUACGGGAGGCAGCAGUGGGGAAUUUUGGACAAUGGGCGCAAGCCUGAUCCAGCCAUGCCGCGUGUGUGAAGAAGGCC